This 253-nucleotide ribosomal RNA is filed under the name uncultured bacterium. Its description in RNAcentral is "partial 16S ribosomal RNA". It matches the Rfam family "Bacterial small subunit ribosomal RNA", at positions 524 to 776 of the family's 1533-position model. The record is from RNAcentral.
GACGAACCGUGCGAACGUUGUUCGGAAUCACUGGGCUUAAAGGGCGCGUAGGCGGACACUCAAGUCGAUGGUGAAAUCCUCCGGCCUAACCGGAGAAGAGCUGUCGAUACUGGAUGUCUCGAGGGGUGUAGGGGCCUGUGGAACUUUGGGUGGAGCGGUGAAAUGCGUAGAGAUCCAAAGGAACGCCGGUGGCGAAAGCGACGGGCUGGACACCUUCUGACGCUGAGGCGCGAAAGCCAGGGGAGCAAACGGG